This is a non-coding RNA of Podarcis lilfordi (Lilford's wall lizard), 71 nucleotides long. The record is from the annotation of a GenBank genome assembly. Lineage: Eukaryota; Metazoa; Chordata; Lepidosauria; Squamata; Lacertidae.
GCUAUGGCUCAGUCGGUAGAGCAUAAGACUCUUAAUCUUAAGGUUGGUGGGUUUGAGCUCCACAUUGGGCA